UACAGAGGGGGCAAGCGUUAUUCGGAAUUAUUGGGCGUAAAGGGCGCGUAGGCGGCCAUUCAAGUGACGGGUGAAAGCCCUCGGCUUAACCGAGGAACUGCCUGUCAGACUGGAUGGCUUGAGACCGGGAGAGGUGAGUGGAAUUCCCAGUGUAGCGGUGAAAUGCGUAGAUAUUGGGAGGAACACCGGUGGUGUAGACGGCUCACUGGACCAUAACUGACGCUGAGACACGAAAGCGUGGGUAGCAAACAGG
Molecule: ribosomal RNA, 253 nt
Filed under: uncultured bacterium
Lineage: Bacteria
Description: partial 16S ribosomal RNA
Rfam family: Bacterial small subunit ribosomal RNA
Source: RNAcentral